AGUGCUGCGACUCUCUUGCUGAUCUUGUCCUUCACCUGCUCCAUCACAUCAAAAAAUCCCUAGCAUGCUUUUAGCAUCAAAUCUAACAUAUCAAACAUAGCACACAAUUUAAUAAUAGUAAUUUAAGGUGCUCCUAGUAGUUUUGGAGCUUUAGAUAAGUCAAAAUUAGACAGAUAACCAAAUCAACAUAUACCAGUUUACUAGUGACUUAAUAGAAGCUAGGUAGAUAACCAAAACAGGUUAGGAGUUACAAAAUAUUCAAUGUCCAUAUAUCUACAUAUUUAUCUCAUUUCUGUUCUUCAUGCUAAACUUUCUAUCUAAGAUUACAUCUUUGCUCAAGUGGAUUUUGCUUUGCG
Molecule: long non-coding RNA, 356 nt
Filed under: Sorghum bicolor (sorghum)
Lineage: Eukaryota; Viridiplantae; Streptophyta; Magnoliopsida; Poales; Poaceae
Description: long non-coding RNA (SBIC_LNC016524)
Source: RNAcentral